This 452-nucleotide ribosomal RNA is filed under the name uncultured soil bacterium. RNAcentral describes it as "bacterial SSU rRNA". It matches the Rfam family "Bacterial small subunit ribosomal RNA", at positions 26 to 523 of the family's 1533-position model. The record is from RNAcentral.
AGAACGAACGCUGGCGGCAUGCCUAACACAUGCAAGUCGAACGAGACCUUCGGGUCUAGUGGCGCACGGGUGCGUAACGCGUGGGAAUCUGCCCUUGGGUUCGGAAUAACAGUUGGAAACGACUGCUAAUACCGGAUGAUGACGUUAAGUCCAAAGAUUUAUCGCCCAGGGAUGAGCCCGCGUAGGAUUAGCUAGUUGGUGAGGUAAAGGCUCACCAAGGCGACGAUCCUUAGCUGGUCUGAGAGGAUGAUCAGCCACACUGGGACUGAGACACGGCCCAGACUCCUACGGGAGGCAGCAGUGGGGAAUAUUGGACAAGUGGGCGAAAGCCUGAUCAGCAAUGCCGCGUGAGUGAUGAAGGCCUUAGGGUUGUAAAGCGUACUUUACCGGGAUCGAAUAAUGACAGUAACCGGAGAAUAGCUCCGCUAACGUCCGUGCCAGCUACGCCGUAC